AAGUCGUAACAAGGUUUCUGUAGGUGAACCUGCAGAAGGAUCAUUGUUGUAAAACUCAGCAGCCUCUGGGCUCCGUUCACUCGGGCCUAGAGCUGCGAUCCACAAACCAAACACACCUGUGCACCUAUGAAUUUUUUUCACCAAACGCAAAGUAGAUCAUUGAAUGUUUACAAAAAUCCUUCGAAGGAAGGUGAAAGUUAAAUACAACUUUCGGCAACGGAUCUCUAGGUUCU
RNAcentral lists this unclassified non-coding RNA (233 nucleotides) under Pseudozyma flocculosa. RNAcentral describes it as "Anthracocystis flocculosa partial internal transcribed spacer region". The stretch from base 1 to 46 matches the Rfam family "Eukaryotic small subunit ribosomal RNA", at positions 1786 to 1831 of the family's 1831-position model. The record is from RNAcentral. Lineage: Eukaryota; Fungi; Basidiomycota; Ustilaginomycetes; Ustilaginales; Ustilaginaceae.